RNAcentral lists this ribosomal RNA (271 nucleotides) under uncultured prokaryote. Its description in RNAcentral is "partial 16S ribosomal RNA". It matches the Rfam family "Bacterial small subunit ribosomal RNA", at positions 524 to 794 of the family's 1533-position model. The record is from RNAcentral.
UACGUAGGUGGCAAGCGUUAUCCGGAUUUACUGGGUGUAAAGGGCGUGUAGGCGGGUCUUCAAGUCGGGUGUGAAAUGUACAGGCUUAACUUGUAACGGUCAUCCGAAACUGUUGAUCUUGAGUACUGGAGAGGAUAGUGGAAUUCCUGGUGUAGCGGUAAAAUGCGUAGAUAUCAGGAGGAACACCAGUGGCGAAGGCGGCUAUCUGGCCAGUAACUGACGCUGAGGCGCGAAAGCGUGGGGAGCUAACAGGAUUAGAUACCCUGGUAGU